GUGAGGAAUAUUGGUCAAUGGAGGCAACUCUGAACCAGCCAUGCCGCGUGAGCGAUGAAGGCCUUAGGGUUGUAAAGCUCUUUCAGCUGGGAAGAUAAUGACGGUACCAGCAGAAGAAGCCCCGGCUAACUCCGUGCCAGCAGCCGCGGUAAUACGGAGGGGGCUAGCGUUGUUCGGAAUUACUGGGCGUAAAGCGCACGUAGGCGGAUCAGAAAGUCAGAGGUGAAAUCCCAGGGCUCAACCUUGGAACUGCCUUUGAAACUCCUGGUCUUGAGGGCGAGAGAGGUGAGUGGAAUUCCGAGUGUAGAGGUGAAAUUCGUAGAUAUUCGGAGGAACACCAGUGGCGAAGGCGGCUCACUGGCUCGAUACUGACGCUGAGGUGCGAAAGCGUGGGGAGCAAACAGGAUUAGAAACCCCUGUAGUCC
RNAcentral lists this ribosomal RNA (425 nucleotides) under uncultured bacterium. RNAcentral's name for it is "partial 16S ribosomal RNA". It matches the Rfam family "Bacterial small subunit ribosomal RNA", at positions 354 to 796 of the family's 1533-position model. The record is from RNAcentral.